GUUUGCAUUAUUACCAAAUGCAAGAAAAAUCACCUAAUAAACCAUCUCUGUUGGUGAUCAGACACAUUUAAUACUUUACCUAAACACUGGCCUCAAGCAAAAAACAAACUUGAAUAUUGAAAUCACAUAAAUAUAUUUUUAAGAAUACAAAUGUCACCAGAAAGAGCCUAGUUUUUGAGCUGGUUUCAAGAUUCUAUAUCCUUUGAACACCUUCAUGAUGUGAGUGCAGUCAUUUACCACCCCUACUUACCCCAAAGACAAUCAUUUCUACCAUUUUAGAAAGUAUUUUUUUUAUUUGCUCUUUUUAGAUAUACAUGACAGUAGAGUGUAUUUUGACAUACAUACAUAGAAGUGUAACUUAUUCUACUUAGGAUCCCAUUCUUGUGGUUAUACAUGAUGUGGUGUUUUGCCAGAGUCCGGCUGGGCAAAUAACCGGGAGGUGAUAAGCAACUUGAAGGUUCAAGCAGGAACUACUUUAUUGCGAGUGAACUCAGCGGCAACUGAGCGAGAACUCAAAGUAGUGGGCACCUAAGGUAGCAGGAGCUGCCUCUCUGCCGGACAGCAGAGGUAUAUAUACCCAACUAAUCACACACAGCUUGACUCAAUUAACAUCAUCUAGAUACAACAGUCAGCCAAUAAAGAAUCCUCAUCAUCUUAAUGGCUUGCUGGCGUUGCUUCACAAACCAAUCCUCCUGGCAAGCUGCCAGGCGCCAUCUUGACUUGAUUUGCAUCCCCAACAGUGUUUAACUGGACAUGUAUUCAAUAUGAACAUAGGAAAGUUCAUUCCAUUGUCUUUCCUAUUCCCAUCCCCCCCUCUUCCUUUCAUCAUUUUCUUUUGUCAAACUUCUGUCUCCCCCACCCAGCCCACAUUGUCUGUUAGCAACCGCAUAUGAGAGAGAACAUUUGUCCUUUGGUUUUUUGGGAUUGGCUUAUUUCACUUAGCAUGAUAGUCUCCAGUUAUAUCUGUUUACCAGCAAAAGUCAUAAAGCCAUUCUUUAAAAAAGUAUUUUUGAAAGUACACACACAUACACACUUUGUAUGUACAAUUUAAGAGUAUUGAUUUUGAAGCUAAAAUGUAUGAGUUUAAAUCCCAUCUCUACACUUGAUUUGGACUUGGGAAGUUAAUGACAUCUCCAAACUUCAGUUAAAGCAGAAUGUAUACAACCUAUUGCAAAGAGUUAGGAGACAUAAAUGAAAAGUUGUGGGUGAAGCAUUAAUUAGGGUCCCUCACAUGUAGUAAGGACUCAGUAAAUAGUACUUAUUAUUAUUUUUGUACUGGGAAUCGAACCCAGGGUUGCGAUACCAUUGAGCCACCCUUUUUUAAUUUUUAGACAGGAUCUUACUAAGUUGCUUAGGGCCUAUGAUAAGUUGCUGAGACUGGCUUUGAAUUUAUGAUCCUUAGGCUCCCAAGCUGCUAGGAUUACAGGCAUGUGCCAUUGAGCCUGGCUUAGUAUUUAUUAUUAUUAUUAAAAUAAUACCAAAGGUGGCUGAGAAUUUAGAGACUAAUAAGUACGACCCUUUUGUGGGGCUACUCUAGAGACCAGCCACUACAAUCCGAGAACUCCUGGCCUAUAUAGCAUUGGAGAACAGAUUCAUUUGAAUGUUAAAAAUUCAACUUUGUAUUAGUAGGAGUGUGAUUUAACUGUCAAUUUCUUCUGUUUAGUGGGACCAUGUUGCAAAAUAAAAUAUAAAAAGGACUAGGGAUGUAGCUCAGUGCUAAAGUGACUCUGGGCUCAAUCCCAGUACCCACCCCCCCAAAAAAAAAGUAUUUUACAUAUUUUCAUAUUGAAUCUUACUCCUUGCUAAUGCUGCUUUUAAUUGUGAUAGGAAAACUUAUGAUUACAUUAGCAAAUGUGCUAUAAAGCAGCUGAUGAGAGUGAUCAAGCUUGUUGACUGCUGAUAUGCUCCAAUCAUUAGUGUUCUAUGUUUUUUCUGAGUCUAGAACCACUUGUUUUAUAUUUAACACAUUUGCAGAAUAGAGAGGUUCAAUGAUAAAUAUGGAAGAGAAGCUGGAAAUUUUUUAAAGAAUGUAUUUGAUGGGAAUUUUUGAGGAAACGGAAUAGUGAUAAAUAAUUGUCUGAUUUCUCAGUGUUCACUGUAUUUACUUCUAAAUGCAGUACAGACUUGUAAGGUCAACUUGAAUUUGCCUCUCUAUAGAAAGGAAAAUGCAAUUCUCCAUCCAGUCAGCUCUUCUGUGUGUUUUGGAUCUGAAGCUUUUCCCAUUUGGGGGAGGCAGUGUGAUUUGUUGGCUAGAAAUCUGAGUACUGUAAUUUUGUGGAUAAGAAUCCAAAUGCUAUGUAAGAACUUAUUUUGAAUAUUGCCUACCCACUACUUCUCAUAACUCUUUUAGGGACUCUGUAUAAUCAAUUAUGCAAUAAUAAAAGCCUAUAUUCAGCGUUUUAUGAAUAUUAAUUUUAAUAUAAACAUCUAGUAUUGUGGAUAGUCUAAAGUAGGAUGAAAUAUAUGACAUUGCCAUUUUGCAGGUCCAAUAUUGUUGAAAUCUGCAAUCCCAUAUGGUUCAAAUAGAAACCCCCUCAAUAAAUGGUAACUAUUAAGUUAACAGAAACAAUUACUUCCUGCCUUUGUAUUUUAUUGUAUACAAUUUAUUCUAAUUUCCCAGGUAACAUAGCACUUUGCUAUAACAUUACUUAUUCUUGCAUAGAUUUGGAUAAACCACAAAUCAAGUCAAAUCAUUUAAUUAUAAAUUAUUGCAUAGGCAUAAUAUACUUAAACAUGUUCAAAACAGAAUUCCUUUUAUUAGUAUGUAUUAAUUAUACAGAAGAGUGAGUUUCAUUGUGGCAUAUUUGUACCAAACAAGUCUGUUCUAUUUACUCCACUGCUUAAGAGACACCUGAGAGAUUUGUUUUCCCCAUUUUAUUCAUUCUAUAAAUACAAUCCAUCUGAAGUGCUUACUAGCAAUAGCUUCAAAAUAUAUUCCUGAUCUAUUGAUUUUCCAUAAUUUUGACAACCCCCUAGCUUAAAUAUCCAACAACUACUGUAAUAGAUUAUUUAGUUACUGUGCUCUCACAUCCUCGAC
This 3037-nucleotide long non-coding RNA is filed under the name Marmota monax (woodchuck). Lineage: Eukaryota; Metazoa; Chordata; Mammalia; Rodentia; Sciuridae. The record is from RNAcentral.